This 446-nucleotide long non-coding RNA is filed under the name Brassica napus (rape). RNAcentral describes it as "long non-coding RNA (BNAP_LNC005783)". The record is from RNAcentral. Lineage: Eukaryota; Viridiplantae; Streptophyta; Magnoliopsida; Brassicales; Brassicaceae.
UCAUGUGUCAUACUCAUACAAUUCGUACAUUGAAUUUGCUUGAGAUCUUAAGACAAUAUAAAACUUACUGUAUUAGAUUUUAUAAUACACAACUAAUACAGAGAGGUAAUUUCUAUUAAUGUUUUGGAUUAUUAUAAAUCUAUAUAAAGGUUAUAAAACUAAAAGUACCAGUUACGAUUACGAUUACGAGUUAGAGGGGAAAUUGAUAGUUUCGCAAUUUGUAUAAGGAACGAUACGGCCAUAACAUUAGUUAGAAAUGAAAAUUAAAACUAUUCAAAAUCUCUCGUACAAUAUAACACAAGCUAAAAGUAAAAUUUCGAUGUACAAGUCGUUUGUUGGACUUUAAAACUGUUUCCGAAGAUUUAUUUUAAAUGCUACAUUUGGUACCGUUGCGAGAAAUUAAUUAACAACUUAAAAAAAAAAAUUUAAUUGGACACCAUACCACC